AGCGAACGCUGGCGGCGUGCUUAACACAUGCAAGUCGAGUGCGCGGUUCGUAGCAAUACGAACUGGCGCACGGCGCACGGGUGAGGAACACGUGGGCAACAUGCCCUCCGAUGGGGAAUAACCCGCCGAAAGGCGGGCUAAUACCGCAUACGAUUCCGGGGACCUCGGUUCCUGGACUGAAAGCCCGCAAGGGCGUCGGUGGAGUGGCCCGCGGCCGAUUAGCUUGUUGGCGGGGAACGCCCACCAAGGCAAUGAUACGGUAGCCGGUCUGAGAGGAUGAUCGGCCACACUGGAACUGAGACACGGUCCAGACUCCUACGGGAGCAGCAGUGGGGAAUCUUGCGCAAUGGGCGAAAGCCUGACGCAGCGACGCCGCGUGGGGA
RNAcentral lists this ribosomal RNA (383 nucleotides) under uncultured bacterium. Its description in RNAcentral is "bacterial SSU rRNA". It matches the Rfam family "Bacterial small subunit ribosomal RNA", at positions 30 to 407 of the family's 1533-position model. The record is from RNAcentral.